This 679-nucleotide long non-coding RNA is filed under the name Mytilus galloprovincialis (Mediterranean mussel). Lineage: Eukaryota; Metazoa; Mollusca; Bivalvia; Mytilida; Mytilidae. The record is from RNAcentral.
GUCCUGUAUAGACUGUUCUUAUACGAUUACAAUGCUAGUAGUUUAUUUGAAACAAGCUUCCGAAACCAUAUCAGACUUCUUCUGUACAGUCCAAUUAUUUUAAAUACAGUUUACACUUUAAACAUAUGGAAAGUUGUUCGGCCAAAUAGCCCAGUUCAACUACCCUUCUUUUUUCAUUCCAUGCAAACACACCAUUUUCUGUCUGAGUUUAUACGUCUGCCUGUACGGUGGUUCCCCUCCCUCCCACCCCCGCAAAAUUAUAUCGGUAUUCUUUUCCAAAUAAAUUUCCUUUUUCUAUUUUGCUAGCGACGUUUUUCGGUGACCAUUUAAAAACGAAUGGGCUUCUUAGCGGAAUUGCAUUAAUUGUGGUAUAAUUUCCGUAUUUUCACACAUUGCGUUUCUAUAAUUUCGAUUUCUACUUUCAAAACAAAAUUUCACCGGGGGAACAGUGUGCAUCAUUAAUAAGAAUGUAUUGCAAAAAAACAAAAAAACAACAACCAAGAAUAAAAAGCUAAGUCUGUUAUGAAGAAUGCGAGGAAGACGACGAAGCAAUCAAUGUAGGGGUUUAUGGGCAAACAUGUUUAAUGGCACUACAUGGAUAAAACCAGAGGAUUUCGAAUAUCUGGCAAAAUUUCUAAAACAAGAGGAGCGAGCAUCCUUAACUUAACGAAUAUCUGGC